Molecule: long non-coding RNA, 1842 nt
Organism: Scophthalmus maximus (turbot)
Lineage: Eukaryota; Metazoa; Chordata; Actinopteri; Pleuronectiformes; Scophthalmidae
Exons: 2
Source: RefSeq, a predicted model, not a curated record
CCUCGAGACCGCCUGACAGAAAAGGAAAGAAUCUGUAAAAAAAAAAAAAAACGAAGAGGUGUCGUCAUCCUGCUGCUGCUGCAGCACCAGAACUGCCCCCCCCUUUCAUUAUAUCUGUUUUAACUGUAAAACUGUUCUGUAGGAAUUUACACUUUUUAAUUCCCACCAUAAAACGAUUUUUAUUUAGAUUGGCUUUUAAUACUCAGCGCUGUGAUACUUUCCAUUUGUUGUACCUCUGUAUUGUUUGUUUUAUUCUAUUUUAUGUAAUUCCUUAAUGUUAUAAGGAAUAAUAAUAAUAAUAAUAAUGAUACUAAUAAUAAUGAUAAUCUAAUAAUUCCAGAUGUCAAGGCAUGUGUGGUAUGACAGGAGGUGAGGGCUAGUUUACGGAAAACAUCUUCACAUUUCCUUUGUGUCAAAGCUUCCAUAAUGUAAAUAACUGUUGUUUUGAAUGCUUGUUCUUGAUGGUGAACACAAAUAUUACGGGAGACCAACUUUUGUGGAAUAGCAUCAUUUUUAGAAAUGCAGAGGAUUUAUUGUCUAGAGUGUAAAUUAACGAUUUGAAGAAAGGAAAGUCCCCUGGUCCCAAUCCCAUGAUCUCUCCUUGAUCUGAACUCAGAGAGGAAAGUUAAAUCUCGGGUACACAUAAAUCGAAGAUGGUUUUGGAGGACAUAUAAAGACUAUAAGAAAAAAACUACACUUAGUAAUAGCCAAACUUGAGCAGUAGAUGGCGCAGAUGACCCAUUUUCCUUGAAGUGGUGUCUCAAAAUGUUUUGAAAAACCAUCUUCAAGCUAAAUCCUGUAUCCACUCUCCUAGAUAGUCCUCUGAUGUGUGUUCACUGAGAUGCUGUCAGAUUUUCUAAUGUUAUUCUCUGUCUUUUUGGUAUCUUUCAGUGAGUUAGCAACCAUUUGGUGAUGUGCACAGCAGUUGUAACUUCUUAAAGCAGCAAGUGUAAUACAUGGAAAAGCAAAGGACAGAUCAGGAGUUUCUUCAGAUAUUUAGGUAUGCCUGUAACUGGGGACGUGCGGCUGUACGGAGCUCUAGCUCCUCUCUCUGAUGUGGGCUGCUGAGUAAUGGGUGUACAUCCUUCAGUGCUCCUCUCCUGCAGCACAUCUGACUGGAUUAAAUAUGUGCAGAGGAUUUAUUGGCUGAAAAACCACAAGAGCCCUACAAACACUUCGGUCCCAGACCACUUGUAGUGGAGCCCAGGCAAGCGCAGGAUUCAUCUGCAACCCCUCUGAUCCCCCUUGACUCUGUUUCUACUCUCCCUUUCAUACUAUGGAUUGUUGUAUGUUUUCCUCCACGACCUUUUCUUUAUAUUUUUUAUUUACCCUGCCAUUAUCUCAAAAUUGGAUUUAUUUUGUGAUUGUUAACCAAAAACACAGAGGUGAAAUCAGGUUCUUGGUUGUUUCCAGACUUCGUUCGGUGGUGAGGGGCUUUUUCCACUUACAGCCUCACUUGAAUUAGUUGGGCAACAUUAAUAAUUCAUGACCCACAUGUGUAACAGACAGAUAACAAGCAUCUCCACGUAACAACUAUCAUUAUCAUUAUUCCAGCCACAGAAUUUUAUUCACCAUCAUGCAUUUUGGGAUUAAUGUGAUUGAGGUUUGAUUUUGGAGUGUGGUUCAAGGGUAGAUUUAUUUAUCGUGCAGUGUGGGAUAAUCUGUGAUGAUUGGUAUUUCCAGUCCAGUCGCAUUUGAAAACCAAAUGCAUUGUUUUCUCAAAAGAACCAGGGUCAUUGAUUCUCUCUAAUGGUUUGAGUCCCUCACAAAAUGUCUCUGUCCUACUGUCCAAUUAAAAUUCUUUCUCUAUCUUUAAUAUAAAACAAUAUAAAAAAUGUAAAA